Molecule: ribosomal RNA, 370 nt
Filed under: Streptomycetaceae bacterium ACTS114
Lineage: Bacteria; Bacillati; Actinomycetota; Actinomycetes; Kitasatosporales; Streptomycetaceae
Description: bacterial SSU rRNA
Rfam family: Bacterial small subunit ribosomal RNA
Source: RNAcentral
GGACGAACGCUGGCGGCGUGCUUAACACAUGCAAGUCGAACGAUGAACCACCUUCGGGUGGGGAUUAGUGGCGAACGGGUGAGUAACACGUGGGCAAUCUGCCCUGCACUCUGGGACAAGCCCUGGAAACGGGGUCUAAUACCGGAUACUGAACCGCUUGGGCAUCCAGGCGGUUCGAAAGCUCCGGCGGUGCAGGAUGAGCCCGCGGCCUAUCAGCUUGUUGGUGAGGUAACGGCUCACCAAGGCGACGACGGGUAGCCGGCCUGAGAGGGCGACCGGCCACACUGGGACUGAGACACGGCCCAGACUCCUACGGGAGGCAGCAGUGGGGAAUAUUGCACAAUGGGCGAAAGCCUGAUGCAGCGACGCC